This 189-nucleotide microRNA precursor is filed under the name Oryza brachyantha (malo sina). RNAcentral's name for it is "MIR812 microRNA precursor family". It matches the Rfam family "MIR812 microRNA precursor family". Lineage: Eukaryota; Viridiplantae; Streptophyta; Magnoliopsida; Poales; Poaceae. The record is from Rfam by way of RNAcentral.
AAUAAAUCAACUUUUCAGUUUUUAGGUAUAAUGUUUAACUCUUCAUCUUAUUAAAAAAAUUUUACGAUUCAUAAUUUUAUUUUUAUUAGAUGAUAAAACAUAAAUAGUAUUUUAUGUGUGACUAAUUUUUUUAAAAUUUUUUAAAAUUUUUCAAAUAAGACGGAUGAUCAAAUGCUCGACACAAAAAUC